UAGAGUUUGAUCCUGGCUCAGAUUGAACGCUGGCGGAAUGCUUUACACAUGCAAGUCGAGCGGCAGCGCGGUCUUCGGACUGGCGGCGAGCGGCGAACGGGUGAGUAAUACAUCGGAACAUGCCCAGUCGUGGGGGAUAACACUUCGAAAGAAGUGCUAAUACCGCAUACGUCCUGAGGGAGAAAGCGGGGGAUCGCAAGACCUCGCGCGAUUGGAGUGGCCGAUGUCAGAUUAGCUAGUUGGUGGGGUAAAGGCCUACCAAGGCAACGAUCUGUAGCUGGUCUGAGAGGAUGAUCAGCCACACUGGGACUGAGACACAGCCCAGACUCCUACGGGAGGCAGCAGUGGGGAAUUUUGGACAAUGGGGGCAACCCUGAUUCAGCCAUUCCGCGUGAGUGAAGAAGGCCUUCGGGUUGUAAAGCUCUUUCGGCAGGAACGAAACGGCGAGCUCUAACAUAGCUCGCUAAUGACGGUACCUGAAGAAGAAGCACCGGCUAACUACGUGCCAGCAGCCGCGGUAAUACGUAGGGUGCGAGCGUUAAUCGGAAUUACUGGGCGU
This 559-nucleotide ribosomal RNA is filed under the name uncultured bacterium. RNAcentral's name for it is "bacterial SSU rRNA". It matches the Rfam family "Bacterial small subunit ribosomal RNA", at positions 1 to 561 of the family's 1533-position model. The record is from RNAcentral.